This 492-nucleotide ribosomal RNA is filed under the name uncultured bacterium. Its description in RNAcentral is "partial 16S ribosomal RNA". It matches the Rfam family "Bacterial small subunit ribosomal RNA", at positions 29 to 507 of the family's 1533-position model. The record is from RNAcentral.
AGUGAACGCUGGCGGUAGGCCUAACACAUGCAAGUCGAACGGCAGCACAGUAAGAGCUUGCUCUUACGGGUGGCGAGUCGCGGACGGGUGAGGAAUACAUCGGAAUCUACUUUUUCGUGGGGGAUAACGUAGGGAAACUUACGCUAAUACCGCAUACGACCUACGGGUGAAAGCAGGGGAUCUUCGGACCUUGCGCGAUUGAAUGAGCCGAUGUCGGAUUAGCUAGUUGGCGGGGUAAAGGCCCACCAAGGCGACGAUCCGUAGCUGGUCUGAGAGGAUGAUCAGCCACACUGGAACUGAGACACGGUCCAGACUCCUAAGGGAGGCAGCAGUGGGGAAUAUUAGACAAUGGGCGCAAGCCUGAUCCAGCCAUACCGCGUGGGUGAAGAAGGCCUUCGGGUUGUAAAGCCCUUUUGUUGGGAAAGAAAAGCAGCAGGUUAAUACCCCGCUGUUCUGACGGUACCCAAAGAAUAAGCACCGGCUAACUUCGUG